This 301-nucleotide ribosomal RNA is filed under the name uncultured bacterium. RNAcentral's name for it is "partial 16S ribosomal RNA". It matches the Rfam family "Bacterial small subunit ribosomal RNA", at positions 509 to 807 of the family's 1533-position model. The record is from RNAcentral.
CAGUCGCCACGGUAAUACGGAGGGUGCAAGCGUUAAUCGGAAUUACUGGGCGUAAAGCGUGCGUAGGCGGCUUCUUAAGUCGGAUGUGAAAUCCCUGAGCUUAACUUAGGAAUUGCAUUCGAUACUGGGAAGCUAGAGUAUGGGAGAGGAUGGUAGAAUUCCAGGUGUAGCGGUGAAAUGCGUAGAGAUCUGGAGGAAUACCGAUGGCGAAGGCAGCCAUCUGGCCUAAUACUGACGCUGAGGUACGAAAGCAUGGGGAGCAAACAGGAUUAGAGACCCCUGUAGUCCCUGUCUCUUAUAC